Molecule: long non-coding RNA, 629 nt
Organism: Salvia hispanica
Lineage: Eukaryota; Viridiplantae; Streptophyta; Magnoliopsida; Lamiales; Lamiaceae
Source: RefSeq, a predicted model, not a curated record
UCUUGCAUAUUUCUCUCUCCACUAACAAACCAUAUGUGUGAAUUAUGAGUUAAUAUUUCUCAUCAUCUCCUUCUUAUCUUCCAUCUUCUUCAUCUGAUGUCCCAUCAAUCUUCCAUUAUACUUCUUUCCAUGAAGUUUAUUAUUUGUGAUUAAUUAGUUGCCAGACUAUUCAAUUUGUUAAUAUCAUUUAACAAUUUGUCGUCGCAUCCGUAUGUUUACUUCGUCGGUAAUUUUUUCUCCGGAUCCAAUAUAAUUAUUUAAAUACACUAGACCGCUCUGUAAAACUCAAACCAUUUGCUGGUCGUAGCUUCCCUACAUGGGACAAUGCUAUUGAGUUUUAUGAGAACUAUUAAGAACAAGCCUUUGCGUCAAUGCAAGAAAUGCCAGGAGUGGGGUCAUCAUGAUUCAAGGAAUUGCGUCAAAUUCAAAGAGAAAUAACAGCUCUGGUCUAGAAGAAAUUCUGAUGUUUGAUACUAUGUACUCUCUUUUUGAACUAACGUCAGUUUAAUUGUCAUUUUGGACGCCAUUUUACUUGCAUUGUCAGGUUGUUUGAUGUUAACAUUUACUUCAACAGCAGUUUUAUAUGAACAUUUCGAUCAAAUUUGUAUGACACGAAAAUUGGAUUAUUA